This 200-nucleotide ribosomal RNA is filed under the name uncultured archaeon. RNAcentral's name for it is "partial 16S ribosomal RNA". It matches the Rfam family "Archaeal small subunit ribosomal RNA", at positions 564 to 763 of the family's 1478-position model. The record is from RNAcentral.
GAGUGGGCGUCCGGCGGAAACUACAGGACUUGGGACCGGAAGACUUGAGGGGUACGUCUGGGGUAGGAGUGAAAUCCUGUAAUCCUGGACGGACCGCCGAUAGCGAAAGCACCUCAAGACGACGGAUCCGACAGUGAGGGACGAAAGCUAGGGUCUCGAACCGGAUUAGAUACCCGGGUAGUCCUAGCUGUAAACGAUGU